This 74-nucleotide transfer RNA is filed under the name Alphaproteobacteria bacterium CG11_big_fil_rev_8_21_14_0_20_44_7. RNAcentral describes it as "tRNA-Cys". It matches the Rfam family "tRNA". Rfam says of the family: Transfer RNA (tRNA) molecules are approximately 80 nucleotides in length. Their secondary structure includes four short double-helical elements and three loops (D, anti-codon, and T loops). Lineage: Bacteria; Pseudomonadati; Pseudomonadota; Alphaproteobacteria. The record is from RNAcentral.
GGCCGGUUAGCAAAGUGGUAAUGCAAGGGACUGCAACUCCCUCAUCGACGGUUCGAUUCCGUCACCGGCCUCCA